This 253-nucleotide ribosomal RNA is filed under the name uncultured bacterium. RNAcentral's name for it is "partial 16S ribosomal RNA". It matches the Rfam family "Bacterial small subunit ribosomal RNA", at positions 524 to 776 of the family's 1533-position model. The record is from RNAcentral.
UACGUAGGGGGCAAGCGUUGUCCGGAUUUAUUGGGCGUAAAGAGCGUGUAGGCGGCCAGGUAGGUCCGUUGUGAAAACUCGAGGCUCAACCUCGAGACGUCGAUGGAAACCAUCUGGCUAGAGUCCGGAAGAGGAGAGUGGAAUUCCUGGUGUAGCGGUGAAAUACGCAGAUAUCAGGAAGAACACCCGUGGCGAAGGCGGCUCUCUGGGACGGUACUGACGCUGAGACGCGAAAGCGUGGGGAGCGAACAGG